This 489-nucleotide ribosomal RNA is filed under the name uncultured bacterium. RNAcentral's name for it is "partial 16S ribosomal RNA". It matches the Rfam family "Bacterial small subunit ribosomal RNA", at positions 30 to 507 of the family's 1533-position model. The record is from RNAcentral.
UUGAACGCUGGCGGCAGGCCUAACGCCUGCAAGUCGAACGGUAACAGGAAGAAGCUUGCUUCUUUGCUGACGAGUGGCGGACGGGUGAGUAAUGUCUGGGAAACUGCCUGAUGGAGGGGGAUAACUACUGGAAACGGUAGCUAAUACCGCAUAACGUCGCAAGACCAAAGAGGGGGACCUUCGGGCCUCUUGCCAUCGGAUGUGCCCAGAUGGGAUUAGCUAGUAGGUGGGGUAACGGCUCACCUAGGCGACGAUCCCUAGCUGGUCUGAGAGGAUGACCAGCCACACUGGAACUGAGACACGGUCCAGACUCCUACGGGAGGCAGCAGUGGGGAAUAUUGCACAAAGGGCGCAAGCCUGAUGCAGCCAUGCCGCGUGUAUGAAGAAGGCCUUCGGGUUGUAAAGUACUUUCAGCGGGGAGGAAGGGAGUAAAGUUAAUACCUUUACUCAUUGACGUUACCCGCAGAAGAAGCACCGGCUAACUCCGUG